ACCAGCAGCCAUCCUCCUCCGCGCUGCCGUGGUGUGAUGGUCAGCUAGUGCCCGCCCGUGUUUUGUUGAACUUUUGUGCAUUUCCGAGGAGAUCCGGUGCCCCUUGUGUAUCCAGACGAAAAGGCGCGCUGACCCAAUUGGUGGCCUCGAAUUGCUGGCGUGUUGGCAUCGGACUGCCGAGAAUACCAUGCCUCACCCCACACAGCGGUAGUCACUGAAAGCUCUUCUCUUCCUCGGGUGUGCUGGAGUGCCCAAGGAACACACCUGUUAUGUCACCUCGAGUCCUUGAGCAAACCUGGAACUUCCCUGGAAUGAGCACAUGCCUACAAGGACGAAGCACAGCGUUAACCCACUGUUGGCCACUUAAGAAGAGUAAAACUAUGUACUGUGUCUGAAGGGAUGGGUGGGUGAGGAGCCUUGUACUGUGCUCCCGUGUUUAAUUUAUUCUUGGCUCGGAGGCAGCGGUGGAAAGACUGUGGAGAGGAGCCUUCUGUGCUGCCCUUGUUGUCGUACUGUAUGGUAGACAAUCCCACAAACAGCUCCGUGGAGACAAGAGAGCAGAUGUUACGAACUAAGCCCAAACCUGCAGGCGACAUGAUCCCUUCACAAGCUUCCGGAAACUUGCCACCAACAAGAUGCUUAAAGUAGACGUCUGCCACACAACUUUGGAGGAUUCACACUCGCUGAAGGCGGAGGGAGGAACAAGGGCAGCACGGGGAGGUGAAAAUAUAAAAGCGGUUGUUAUUAGAAGCCCGAGCCAAGAAGGACGCCAUGUCAAGAGUCAGACGUGAGGAGUGUUGGGAAAACAUUCACCGUACACAUUGCAAUAGGCGGGACUUCCCAUGGCCGGGUCCUGAGUGACGGUUUUUGUAACUUUUUGGGGCUUUUGAUUCAGUCAGUCUUCAUCAGCAGUCCUCUGGGAGAAGUGAGCGUGUGCAUUAUUCAUAUUUCGUAUCUCUUCCCUCGCCGUGCCAAACAGUGAACAAAGCUUAUGACGCAUUCCGCCCCGCUGCCUAAAACUCCUGACGCUGCUGCUGCUGCUGCUGCUGCUGCUGCUGCCUUUUUGGGGGCGCGGAAUAAAAGUAUUUCUCUGAGGAAGGCCAGUUUCAACAUCGCUAUCCAAGAUUUGUUAUUAUUGUUGAUG
Molecule: RNA transcript, 1144 nt
Organism: Scylla paramamosain (green mud crab)
Lineage: Eukaryota; Metazoa; Arthropoda; Malacostraca; Decapoda; Portunidae
Exons: 10
Source: RefSeq, a predicted model, not a curated record